RNAcentral lists this long non-coding RNA (1226 nucleotides) under Zonotrichia albicollis (white-throated sparrow). RNAcentral's name for it is "lncRNA (ENSZALG00000009635.1)". The record is from RNAcentral. Lineage: Eukaryota; Metazoa; Chordata; Aves; Passeriformes; Passerellidae.
AUUUUUCAGUGUUCUGUUUGUAAGCUGUGAAAUGGCACCUGACUCUUCUCUCGUGGUGCUUUUUACCUUUUUUAAGCAGUCUGUGUAACCUUGGCAGAAUUAUAAGUUAAAACUUAUUAAGAACAGUAAUCAUGGUCUGAAAUUGGUUGUGACCUUCACAUUCAGUGAGGUGGGGCAGGGCAAAGCUGCUCAUUGCUUUGCUACAAUUUCCUGUAAAUGUAAGCCUUACAUUCAUUUCUUUGGUUUAACUGAAAGGACUUCUCUUUUCUUUGUUUUUCAGGAAUGCCAGACCUCGUGCAAAUCAUGUUGGGGUGUUCUGGAGCAGGACUGCUGCCUCUGCCCCCACACUGCAGCUGCCAUGGGGCUGUCCCUCACUGACCCUCACUGUUCCUGCUCCAUCCAGAGCAUUCCCAGCUGUGCUGAGCAGGACCUGGUGCUCUCAGGGAGAGCACACUCUGAGUGUUGGAUGCUGAUUUGGUCCCAGGCUGUGGAAGCUCCUGAGAGACUGAUUCUUUCUUGGAAUGUCCACAUGGACACAUCCAAUGGAGAAGAAAGCACAGUCUGGCUCCUCAGGUUGGGGGAAGGCUGGUUCACAAGUAACCAUGGCAACCAGGCUGUCACUGGGAGCACCAAGACAUUUUCAUACCAAAAAUAAAAUAGCCCAAACACACAACAGACAUUCCCACUCCAGCCUCCUUGGAGAUCCUACCUCAGUUUUGUUCCUCAGGGAUCCUGGCAGCAGCAGCAGGUGAGGAGAUUUUUCCUUCCUCUAUCUCCUGCACCAGCAGCAAACAUUGUUUCUGAUGAUAAACUUAAUAAUGGCUUCCAAUUAAAAGGGGAUAUUUGAGUUUUGAGUUGAAGAAACACUGAAGAUAAUUUUAUGUUCACCUUAAAAAGUUUCCAUCUGUCACACACUUCCCAAGCCAGUGUGCUCACAUCAAUAUUUAUAUCAGCCAGCCCAGUGUUUUCACAGAAAAGCCAUUAAUACAACAUAUCAGCUCUGGUGACAAGUUACAUUUUACAUUGCUGUCAACAAACAAAGAUGUUCUUUGUCUGCAAACUCCCCUUUUUUCCCUUUUCUUAAUCAAUCGUUAGGUUUGAGUUUUGAAGGAAAUGUGUAGAUGUGCUUUCCAAUGUUUGCUGGAGACAAGACAGAUGGAGCUUGUAGGAGCUGAUGGAAGGCACUGAUUAAUUUUCCUAGGAAAUAAAAUAACAGUUUUGGUGCA